GUUAAUCUAGUUUAUAAGAAUAUUAAGUUGUGGUCUUAAUGGUGAGUAAUAUACUCGAUUAGCU
RNAcentral lists this transfer RNA (64 nucleotides) under Epigonichthys cultellus. RNAcentral describes it as "tRNA-His". The record is from RNAcentral. Lineage: Eukaryota; Metazoa; Chordata; Leptocardii; Amphioxiformes; Branchiostomatidae.